Molecule: long non-coding RNA, 213 nt
Filed under: Mytilus galloprovincialis (Mediterranean mussel)
Lineage: Eukaryota; Metazoa; Mollusca; Bivalvia; Mytilida; Mytilidae
Source: RNAcentral
CGUCAAAUAAAGAAUUCUGUCCGCAGAAUUAAAAAUGAACAAUUUAAUAUUAAUCAAGCUUUUUGAAAAAAGUUAUUCAUGAAUUCAAUCAAUAUUAGCACUAACCAAAAAGGAAUCAUUAAAAUGAAAAAUUUAAUUAACCUCUUCCUUAAAAAUUUUAAGAAACUUUUCUUAUUCAUACAAAUAUACAAAUAUAUACAUGCGCAAUAAAAC